AAAUGCGAUAAGUAAUGUGAAUUGCAGAAUUCAGUGAAUCAUCGAAUCUUUGAACGCACCUUGCGCUCCUUGGUAUUCCUUGGAGCAUGCCUGUUUGAGUAUCAUGAAAUCUUCAAAGUAAAUCUUUUGUUAACUCAAUUGGUUUCUACUUUGGUAUUGGAGGUCUUUGCAGCUUCACACCUGCUCCUCUUUGUUCAUUAGCUGGAUCUCAGUGUUAUGCUUGGUUCCACUCGGCGUGAUAAGUUAUCUAUCGCUGAGGACACUGUAAAAGGUGGCCAAGGUAAAUGCAGAUGAACCGCUUCUAAUAGUCCAUUGACUUGGACAAUACUUUUAUGAUCUGAUCUCAAAUCAGGUAGGACUACCCGCUGGACUUAAGC
This 377-nucleotide unclassified non-coding RNA is filed under the name plant metagenome. RNAcentral describes it as "partial contains 5.8S ribosomal RNA, internal transcribed spacer 2, and large subunit ribosomal RNA". The stretch from base 1 to 104 matches the Rfam family "5.8S ribosomal RNA", at positions 51 to 154 of the family's 154-position model. The record is from RNAcentral.